Non-coding RNA from Pelobates cultripes (western spadefoot toad), 717 nucleotides. NCBI's taxonomy places the organism in Eukaryota, Metazoa, Chordata, Amphibia, Anura, Pelobatidae. The record is from the annotation of a GenBank genome assembly.
GGCACACAGACACUCCGGCACACAUACACUCACACACAGACACACACACAAUCACAGACAGUCACUCACAGACACACAGACACACACUCACUAAUUAUUUUAAUAAAUUAACAGGCAGGACAAAACUCAGGCACCCCCCAACCCUUCCCCCCGCCCGCUAAAUACACACACACACACACACACACAUUCACUGACAGAUUCGCAUACACUCGCUAACAGAAACACACUCACUGACACACAGUCAAACACACACAUACACACACUCACUAGCACACACACUCACAUUCACUGACAGAUCCGCAUACACUCGCUAACAGAAACACACACACUCACUGACACACACACACAGUCAGACACACACACACUCACUGACACACAGUCACACACACACACUAACAGACAAACAGUCAGACACACACUAACAGACACACACUCACUAGCAGACACACACACAAACUCUCACACACUAACAAACACACAUUAAAUGACACACUCACUGACACACACACAGUCAGACACACACAUACACACUAACACUCACUAGCAGACACACACACACACACACAAACUCACACACACAAAUUAACAGACACACACUAACAGACACACACACACACACACACACACACUCACAGGCAAACACACACUCACUGACAGUCAGACACACACUAACAGACACACACUCACUCACUAGAAGACACACACUCACACAGUCAG